AAUCAACGCUGGCGGCGUGCCUAACACAUGCAAGUCGAACGCGAAAGGGGCUUCGGCCCUGAGUAGAGUGGCGAACGGGUGAGGAAUACAUGGGUAACCUACCCUCGAGUGGGGAAUAACUAGCCGAAAGGUUAGCUAAUACCGCGUACGCUUCUUGGACUUCGGUUCAGGGAGGAAAGCGAUGCCGAGGGUAUCGCGCUCUUGGAUGGGCUCAUGUCCUAUCAGCUUGUUGGUGAGGUAACGGCUCACCAAGGCUUCGACGGGUAGCUGGUCUGAGAGGACGAUCAGCCACACUGGCACUGCGACACGGGCCAGACUCCUACGGGAGGCAGCAGUAAGGAAUAUUGCGCAAUGGGCGAAAGCCUGACGCAGCGACGCCGCGUGGGGGAGUGAAGGUC
Molecule: ribosomal RNA, 398 nt
Filed under: uncultured bacterium
Lineage: Bacteria
Description: bacterial SSU rRNA
Rfam family: Bacterial small subunit ribosomal RNA
Source: RNAcentral